Long non-coding RNA from Macrobrachium nipponense, 461 nucleotides. RefSeq lists it as uncharacterized. The record is from RefSeq and is a predicted model, not a curated record. The transcript has 2 exons. Lineage: Eukaryota; Metazoa; Arthropoda; Malacostraca; Decapoda; Palaemonidae.
AAUAAAGCUCAAAUAUUCUCAAUUCAUUAAAAAAAUUAAAUUGGUAAGUGUUACAACAAAAAAAUCUUGCUUUAAGAGACACCUGGAAAGAGAAAAAUUAAGAUUAUUUUCCCUUUGUUGCAGUUAACUGUACUGGACCAUCUCGGCAGAGAAGAAUAAAAUGCAGUGUUGAAGUUAUCGUUGCAGAUUUUGACAUUGAUUGGAUGUACUGGAUCAUCUCUGCUGCUCAGAAGAAACAAACUGCUUGUCUAUGCAGUGCGGGUGUAUUACAAAUGUUUGUGAAAAAGUGGUGUCUGUAGAUAUUUAGGAGAGCAUACCAUGAAAAGCCUUCCCUUUUCCCUUUAGUGUUUUUGUCUUUUUUUACUAGGAUGCCUCUAAUGGGCAAGUAGACAUAAUCUUUGAGAAAUAAUGAUCUAUUUUAAGGGAACAGAUUCUAAGAUAUAACAUAUAAUGAACCUUAG